RNAcentral lists this ribosomal RNA (426 nucleotides) under Clostridioides difficile. Its description in RNAcentral is "bacterial LSU rRNA". It matches the Rfam family "Bacterial large subunit ribosomal RNA", at positions 2497 to 2925 of the family's 2925-position model. The record is from RNAcentral. Lineage: Bacteria; Bacillati; Bacillota; Clostridia; Peptostreptococcales; Peptostreptococcaceae.
AGUCCACAUCGACGGGGAGGUUUGGCACCUCGAUGUCGGCUCAUCACAUCCUGGGGCUGUAGUAGGUCCCAAGGGUUGGGCUGUUCGCCCAUUAAAGUGGUACGCGAGCUGGGUUCAGAACGUCGUGAGACAGUUCGGUCCCUAUCCGUCGCAGGCGUAGGAAAUUUGAGAAGACCUGUCCUUAGUACGAGAGGACCGGGAUGGACGUACCUCUGGUGUACCAGUUGUUCUGCCAAGGGCAUGGCUGGGUAGCUAUGUACGGAAUGGAUAAGCGCUGAAAGCAUCUAAGCGCGAAGCCAACUUCAAGAUAAGAUUUCCCACCGCAAGGGUAAGACCCCAGAAAGACUAACUGGUUGAUAGGUCGAAGGUGUAAGUGCAGCAAUGUAUUUAGCUUAUCGAUACUAAUAGGUCGAGGACUUGACCAAU